This 479-nucleotide ribosomal RNA is filed under the name uncultured bacterium. RNAcentral describes it as "bacterial SSU rRNA". It matches the Rfam family "Bacterial small subunit ribosomal RNA", at positions 8 to 496 of the family's 1533-position model. The record is from RNAcentral.
AGAGUUUGAUCAUGGCUCAGGAUAAACGCUGGCGGCGCACAUGAGACAUGCAAGUCGAACGGACUUAACCAUUAGUUUACUAUUGGAGCGGUUAGUGGCGGACUGGUGAGUAACACGUAAGCAACCUGCCUAUCAGAGGGGAACAACAGUUAGAAAUGACUGCUAAUACCGCAUAUGCCUUAACCUUCGCAUGAAGGAAGAGGGAAAGGAGCAAUCCGCUGAUAGAUGGGCUUGCGUCUGAUUAGAUAGUUGGUGGGGUAACGGCCUACCAAGUCAACGAUCAGUAGCCGGACUGAGAGGUUGACCGGCCACAUUGGGACUGAGACACGGCCCAAACUCCUACGGGAGGCAGCAGUGGGGAAUAUUGCACAAUGGGGGAAACCCUGAUGCAGCGACGCCGCGUGAGCGAAGAAGUAUUUCGGUAUGUAAAGCUCUAUCAGCAGGGAAGAAACUGACGGUACCUGACUAAGAAGCACCGG